UUCACUUUCAGAGUUUAGGGAUUUCCAGAGCUUUGGAUGAGUCUCAUUGACAGAAUUGGCAAAAAAGAGUAAAUGACUGGGUCUGGGAGCCAAACAUGUUCUCAGAAGAAAAACUCAACAUCUUGCUCAGAAUUAUGAUUUUGGCCUUCAACUCUCCAGUUUGUCUCAUUGACCUCAAAGGUUACAUCUCAAUAAAACAAACACUGCCAGGUUUCAUUCCUGUGCUUGGAAACUGACACUCUGGUUACCUCCACCCUGUUAAACCCUGUCAGCUUUAAAACUGCAUCCAGCCAUCUACUGGAAGUGGUCCUAGGAGUGUGCCUGUUCCUGCACCAUCCUUGGGAGCAGUGGGAGAGACAAGGUGGCCUGGCAAGGAACACUCUGGCAGGGAGAACCAUCGGGGAGAUCUGUCCAAGGACCUGGCUGUCUCUGAUGUGACCAAGGACAAAACCCCAAAGACAUAUAUCAUUUCUUCACUUUGUAAAAUUUCACCGCUUUGCCCUGAACGAUGGUGUUUGCCAGGAGAAUUUUGGAAUGAAAUGAAAUCUCUGCCCAAACACAAAGGAGG
This 568-nucleotide long non-coding RNA is filed under the name Cyanistes caeruleus (blue tit). RNAcentral's name for it is "lncRNA (ENSCCEG00000000263.1)". The record is from RNAcentral. Lineage: Eukaryota; Metazoa; Chordata; Aves; Passeriformes; Paridae.